GCCCAUCUGGGCCCCCAGUUGACUGGAUGGUACCACUCACAUUGAGAGCUCGUCUUCCCCACUUAUUCCACUCAGACUCACAUGCCAGUCUCCUCUGGAGACACCCCGACAGACACACCCCAAAAUAAUGCCUCACCGGGUUUCUGGUUUCUGGGUACUGCUUUAUCCAGUCAAGCAGAUGCCUAGAAUGUACCAUUGUGGUUGGGAGGCUGGAGGAGGCCUGAGGGCUGCGGCCAGGUGGCAGAGGAGCUGGAGUGAAGGGACACAGAUCUCCCCCUCACCCACCAGUGGCCCUGGGGACCCCUUUCAGGGUGCACUGCCCGUUAACACAGGUGCUGUGCAAAUUUCAAGAGUGUUUCAAAUGUUUAUAAUGGCAGGUUUGUCAUAAAGAAGUGUUAGCUGCAGAGACAAUGUUUCUGGCAUAGCUCAGUGCUGAAUAGACUGGUAAUAACGGGUAGGAAAUAGAUGAGGUUUGGGAGAUGACCGCUCCAGGUCCAGGAAGGAUGCUCCUAGCUGAGCAAAGGGCAUUGGCCGGAACUCACAGGCCUUUCCUGGGGCUCUGGAGAGUGGGCUCCCUGCUGGGAAAAUAUCAACAACUUAUCUGAAGGGAAAAAUGUGGCUGGCAGAUUGUCGGCACAGCAGGAGAAUAGGUGAAACAUUGAAUUGGACACACAUUGCCAAGUCACUGGUCAACAUCUUUGUUCUGAAAGAGGAAGGGAAAAAGGCUGGGGCCAACUGACCUGCCAGGAAGCUUUUCAUCUGCCUCAUCCUCUCCUCUCCAGAGAGCUGGGGCUGGUCCUGGUAUAGGACCCAGCUAAGGGAUCCCUGCAGGAUAUGUGAAGAAAGUUCUUGGAAGGGAGGGUGCAGGGCACCCAGGUAAAUAUGAGAAGUCAUAAAAAACCCAAGGGCUGUGAGCACCUGCCCUGCCCUUCUUCCGGCUAAGAGGCUGGGGAGAUGCCAUAGUUUGUAGCGAGUGGACCAUGAACGCUCCUUUUCUAAUGAAUGACAUCAAAUUCACAUCUUGCUUUUCCAGGCGUUCUGUGUGGCAGGAGGAGGAACUGUCAGGCAAGAAGAUAGAGAAAAUCCAGAUUCAUGUCACUGCUUGCGAGAGAUGCUUGCUUUCCUCUUCUAUGCUCACAAAAUCGCAGCCUUGGGCAAUUCAUCCUGAUAACACCAAGAGAGACCAAAAUACUUGCUGUAUCAUUUAAUGACUCUUGGCAGAAAGGAAAAACACUUCACUUGAACAUGGUAUUUUAAAAAUAUGUAUUUUACUAACUUUCAUGGGAAAUUUAACUAUUUGAUGAAAUGCCUUUGUAUAUUACUUGGCUGAUUUUCAUUUGUUCUUAACAAUUUGUCUUAAAGAUGAUACAUGAAAAUGAGAUGAAAAUAUACAAUGUUCCCCAUAAACCAAACCUAGGAGAGAUGAAACGUUGCCCCAAGUGAAAUAGCUGAAUUCAAUGGAUGUUAAUUACUUUUUGUCCCCACGGGCUCCCCCGCCCCCACCUUAAUUUCUUCUAUUUUCCCGUUAGGUUGCAAUCAUUAAUUUCAAGUUUGGUCCCAUACUAUCCAUGAAACUAAACAAAACGUGUGACAGCCGAGAUGAAUUCGGUGCCGCCUUUUGACUAAGCAGGCAAGUGUCCUUUUCAACGCCAGCCUAUGCCUGUACCCUGGUGGGAGGGUGGUGGUGGGGAUGGCCCAUGGCCCUCUCAGUAGCUGCUCGCUUCCACGCCCUUAGACCGCAGUUCUCCUAGUGAUGAGCUGCCCGCCGUCUUGGGAGGCAGCUCCCGGCCCCUACUUUCUACUCUCAGGUUGUCCGGAGACCAUACCCUCUUGACUCUGAACAUAACAGCAGCCCAUGGAUUCCUUUCCACAGGGCAGCAGUAACUUACCAGGAUACAUGUUUUCCCUUGAAUGACUCCCGAGGUCUCAGAAGCCACUCCUUCCUGCCUGCUUUCUCUAAUAGCUCUUUUGGGUGCUGAGACUCUAACUGUAAAGCUUAACACUCACCCAGUGGAAGCAGCAGCCUUACCGAAAGCCUCCUUAAUGAUGGCUUAGGCAGGAAAUGGAAAUGGCUUGCGUUAUCCAUCCUUUGAAGCAUUUCUAGUGCUCAGCCUCCAUGAAAUGGAUUGCUUAUAGGGAGAUAAUGUCUGUUCUAUUCCUUUUUAAGUCUGUGAAAAAUGUCAUCCUGGUUAAUAGGGUGAUUAAAACUCUUUAUGCUCUAGGAGAUAAAUGUGAUUAUGUUUGUCAUACUCUACCCAAGAUAAAGACAGCAAAGGAGGCAAACUUGAAAUUCCAUCACAUUUCCUCUCUUCCAUAUCCAGGGACAUUCAGAGCUCAAUACACAGAUGGUACGUCUCAUAAAGAAUAACAUUAUCUGUUAAACAUUUUUCCUUUCCAUUAACCAAUUUAACAAUAUGCCUCCGGUACAAAAGGAAUAGACAAAUGACAAAAUCCUCUGAUACUCAAGUUCUGACUGUGGCGAAUACCACUUGAGUCAUGCUGCUUUUCUCUUUUAAUUUUCAUCUGUCUGUGACUUCACUUUUGCUUUUAAAAUGCAAUUGGAGCUGAGGCUUGGUCCCUCUUCUAGGGAAUUGGACCCUGCCAGCCUCCCCUCUGCAGGGGAUUCAUCGUUAUUCUUAUGGGAGUCCCCCUGCCAUGGGUCAAGGACAGCAGAGGUGAUGUAUGAGGGUUUUGUAGACACGAGGCAUGCCACUCUAGUAAGUAUUCGGACACUCCUUCAGCAACACACGUCUAGGUGUCCUCUGCACCAGCCCUGUGGGAGAGCAGCGCCCCACCAUGGCCCCUGGCUCCUUCCUAGGGCCUAGCUGCCAUCAGCCCGAUGUGCAGCAGCCUCCCCAGCAGUGGUGACACCAGUUUACAAGGCCCUGAGAUGGGUCCCUACCCUCAGGGAGGCUAUAAGGCAGGAAUCCAUGAAACAGAACCACAGUUAACAAUGAUUUCUCCUUUAACACUCCAGACAGGCGGGAGAGUCUCUUUUCCUACCCAGUGGAGGUCUAGAAACCACUCAGCAUUCUCCAUCUACAGAAAGUAACACCCAGAUUCCAGCUGUAACAGUGUUAGGUAGCGCCCACUCUUUUCUUCCCCCACAUCAGUUGGGUAAUUCAGUGCAGCCGUUGUAACAAGGCUGGAGGGCCAUCUCAUGCACAAGCUUGGAAACCUACGGUUAGGAAGCACCAAAGGAUCCGGUGGUGUGCAUUCUCUUCAGGGGAAUCUAGAUUCAGACUAAUUGUGCGGACGAAAUCCUGUUCCUCUGGCUCUUGCCUUUCCUUCCUCUCAUUCAAAGGCUACAAAUCUCUUCUCAGAGAUUUAGUUAACAUGAAAGGCCGGUGAAGAGUCUUUGCUCCCCACAUUCACCAACCAAUUUCCCAGUCCUUUCCUUUCAGUCUUGGAUUUUUAACAGAUUACACAUGAAUCCCAGAUGCUGACACCUGCUUCAUUAACAAUACAGCAAUUUUAACAGGGUAACAUGGUCUAGAGAAAAGUGUUACAUUAUGUACUUGACAUUUCAUUUAAAAAUCUCCCUUAGAAUAAAAGGUUUCAUGAUAACAGAAAUUUCAAAUGUCCUUUAUUGAACCUGAUUGCUGACUAAUUAGAGCCUAGG
Sapajus apella (tufted capuchin) is the source of this 3622-nucleotide long non-coding RNA. RefSeq lists it as uncharacterized. The record is from RefSeq and is a predicted model, not a curated record. The transcript is spliced from 2 exons. Lineage: Eukaryota; Metazoa; Chordata; Mammalia; Primates; Cebidae.